GGCUUCUUGGUCUAGAGGUAUGAUUCUCGCUUUGGGUCUCUGACAAGGAAGAAAACCAGCUUUCCCUGUCUUAGCUACUUUGCGAGAGGCCCCGGGUUCGAAUCCCGGAGGAGCCC
Molecule: non-coding RNA, 116 nt
Organism: Xylariaceae sp. FL0594
Lineage: Eukaryota; Fungi; Ascomycota; Sordariomycetes; Xylariales; Xylariaceae
Source: the annotation of a GenBank genome assembly